CACAUAGGAUUUCAAGUUUCAUGUUUAGACAAAAUUUUAACCUCAUUUAGGCAAUGUUUUCAAAUUUGAUAAUGGAGGGAAAAAAGUGUGAACAAAUGAUCAAAGGGCCAGAAAAGUGGGUCGAAAAUGCAAGGCCCAUUGCGAGAAGCCCAAACAGAUGAAAAAAAGAAAGAAUCUGGUCAGAAGCAACAAGGGUCUUGUCCCUUUCAGCAUCUCUUCAUUUUGGGUAAUAUUGUUUAGGCAAAUUCUGAAUUGUUCUCACUCAUCCCUUUUACAUGCAACCUAAAACAACUUUAUCAGAGACAAAUCACGCUGCUGCAAGCUCCUCAAUUCAAAUUUCAAAUUCAAAAUAACACACGCUCUCUCUCUAGCCAUCUUCUAUCACCUUCAAAUUUUCAAUCUCAAACCUCCCCCUAUUUCUCUUUGUUUUCCACCUAGCCCUUUGAUAUUCUUCUUUCUACUGCUUUCCUCCAUUUUUUUCUUCAUUAUUGGCUUGCAGAAGAUAAUCAACGAUACGUGGAGUAACUUUGAUUUUGAAUUCAAGGAAAAUAUCAAUUGAAGCGGCGAUAGAAGGAACCCUUCAUACACAACGACUUUGUCGGAACCGCCAUUGACAAGGACACACCGCUGGAACCAGUUCAAGAGCUAUCUUCAUAAAUGAAUGUUCAAAGGGCUUCUCAAAAAACAAAGCCAAAAGAUUUGUAGACUAUUUGGCUACUUUGGUCCUCUAAAUGAAGUUUUCGUGCCUCAUGAUUAUUAUAUUAGGUUAUUGGUAAAACAUUGGUCCUUGAUGAGAUAAUCAAUUAUACUCAAUCAUAUCACCACCAAGUAGAGCAAAGCUUUUGAUAUAUGGUUGCAUAAAAGGGUUGAAAGUGAUAUAAUGCUUCCAAAAAGGAUGUUGGAGAGUCUUUCACAUGAGAUUAGAGAACAUGGAUGCUGUGAUGGAGCUCCUGCCUUAGAAAGAUAGACUUAAGAGUCUAUGGACGGUUUACAUACUAAUCAAAGCUUUAGGAAACAUGUCCAGUUAAACAUAGAUGGCAGGAGCAAGAAAGGUUUACCAUGAAGAGGUUGAACUUCUUGGGAGAUGACCAAGUUUUUAUGUGGUGGCUUAUAAUGAUAUCUCAAUAGGAUAUAUCUUCUCUUUAAAUUCAUAUAUCAUGUUGUAUAAUUAAGAGGAAAAUUACAAUGACCUCGCCUAAAUUCUAUUGUAAUAGACACAAACCUCCCCUAAAGUCUAUUGAAUAGACAAACACCUCCCCUCUAAACUUCCACCGUUUAUUAAUCUGUUAAUUUUAUUAUGAUGAUAAUCUCUCCUAAAUUAAGGGGAAAAUUACAAUGACCUCGCCUAAAUUCUAUUGUAAUAGACACAAACCUCCCCUAAAGUCUAUUGAAUAGACAAACACCUCCCCUCUAAACUUCCACCGUUUAUUAAUCUGUUAAUUUUAUUAUGAUGAUAAUCUCUCUCCACUGAAACCUUGAAUAUUGUACCAUUGUUCGAACCUUCUCAAACCAUUUUUCCUAUUUUAAAUCUACUAUU
Molecule: long non-coding RNA, 1537 nt
Organism: Trifolium pratense (red clover)
Lineage: Eukaryota; Viridiplantae; Streptophyta; Magnoliopsida; Fabales; Fabaceae
Exons: 8
Source: RefSeq, a predicted model, not a curated record